CAGCAGGAGACGGUCACGCUGCUGAUUCGAAGCCGUCGGCCCGGCUACGCGCCCAUUCACGUACACGAGAGGCGGCAUGAGCAGGUUUCUCAGCACUGUUUUCGGCAAGUCGGUGGCAGCACGGACAUCAGCAAAGAUAGCCGAGCCCCCUGCCGCUCUUUCAUACGCGCUCGCCUCGUUUCGCUGGCACAUGGACACGCGCCCACCGGCAAAGUUUAUUGCCGUUCACGAUUACCUCGGCAGCUGCGCAUCGUUGCAGCAGUUGCUAAACGAGUCCAUCGCAGAUCUCCCGCUGUCGCGGCUAACGCCGACAGAGCCGCUAGAGGUGUACUGCGCCGACCUCCGCGGUCACAACUUCUCUGAGGCGGCCCCGAUGACAUCCGAUUCCGCCUAUCUGCUCGCCUGCGCUGCGGACAUCAUUAAGAUGCAGGAAGACAUUCUCCGCUCUGAAGCAGGGCUGCUAGGUCUUGGUUUUGGUUCUCUCGUUGCCUCCUGUGCCGCCCUGCAUGCGCCCGACGCCUUCUCCUCCCUCACCCUCUUCGUGAGGGAGAUAGCGCAGCUGCAGCGGUGCCUGCCUUCCUCUUACCCGGUCGGUGAGCUUCUGCGACGCGCGCCAGCCAACGCCACAGGGCUGGCAGAGCUAAAUAGCUACCUGCGGGAUCGAAUACCCGAUCCGGCAGAACGGGCUGCCCUUCUCGCCGCCGUGGAGGUGCGACGUGGCCUGGCCCGGUUCCGAUUCAGUAAUGAUCUACUUCAGUACACCGAGCCGUUUGUGCUUAAUUCACCGGCGGGCAGCACGUUCACGAAGCCCACGGUCGUGUACCUGUGCGGCAAAGAUGGCGCCAUCUCUCCGGAAGAGGAGGCCCGAGUGCGCGCACGCUUCCCUGCGGUGAAGUUUGUCAAGCUCGACACGCAGGGGGAGACGCUGACGUCUCCCGAAGUGCGUCUUGUUCCGCUGUUUCUUCAGUCUUGCGGCAUGCUUGGCGAGAUCAACGAGGCGAACAUGGAGCGAUGAAGUGCCGUGUGCAGUGAUGCAGGAGAGAUGGUGCACUCGUAUGCACGCGCGCGCGAGAGAAAGAGAAUCUGUGCAACGCGUAACUUUCGGCCAGCAUGCAAAAUCGUGAAUGCGUAUGCCGUUUGAGUAUUCGUUCUUGGGUGGUGGCGCAAGCCGGAGGCAUAUACAGGGAGAGAGAAACAGAGAGCCUACGAGGUUGUAUGUGUGUCUGCAGGGGCGGGUAAGUGCUGGAGCUGGACUCCGGCUAGGGUGGGCGUGGUGAUGACCCUGUGCGACUCUUGUGUCACUCUGCCGUCGCCGUGUACUUUCAGUGGCGUAUGUGUUGCUAAAGUAACGUACAACAACCGAACGAAAA
Molecule: unclassified non-coding RNA, 1370 nt
Filed under: Leishmania donovani
Lineage: Eukaryota; Euglenozoa; Kinetoplastea; Trypanosomatida; Trypanosomatidae
Description: gene:LdHU3.34.6260(CDS-product:Alpha/beta_hydrola se_family_putative)
Source: RNAcentral